RNAcentral lists this transfer RNA (71 nucleotides) under Neotermes castaneus (southern dampwood termite). RNAcentral's name for it is "tRNA-Cys". Lineage: Eukaryota; Metazoa; Arthropoda; Insecta; Blattodea; Kalotermitidae. The record is from RNAcentral.
GGCUUUAUAUUCAUGUUGUGAUGAUAGAAUGCAAUUCUAUUGGGGUGGUAAUUGUUUUGCCGCUAAGGCUU